This 247-nucleotide ribosomal RNA is filed under the name uncultured Lactobacillus sp. Its description in RNAcentral is "partial 16S ribosomal RNA". It matches the Rfam family "Bacterial small subunit ribosomal RNA", at positions 116 to 355 of the family's 1533-position model. The record is from RNAcentral. Lineage: Bacteria; Bacillati; Bacillota; Bacilli; Lactobacillales; Lactobacillaceae.
CGUGGGCAAUCUGCCCUAAAGACUGGGAUACCACUUGGAAACAGGUGCUAAUACCGGAUAACAACAUGAAUCGCAUGAUUCAAGUUUGAAAGGCGGCGCAAGCUGUCACUUUAGGAUGAGCCCGCGGCGCAUUAGCUAGUUGGUGGGGUAAAGGCCUACCAAGGCAAUGAUGCGUAGCCGAGUUGAGAGACUGAUCGGCCACAUUGGGACUGAGACACGGCCCAAACUCCUACGGGAGGCAGCAGCC